UUGUUUCUGCAUCAGGGUGGAGGCUAUUGAGCCACAUCCCUGACACAAGCAGUGAGCUGCCAAGGCCCUUGCGCCUGAGCUUGGCACUGUCUGGGCCUGGGCUGGUGCCAUGAGUAGACCCUGCACGCACUAGGCCAAUCUGGAGCACGUGGCUCACCCGAGCUCAAAGCACCGACACCCUGCACGUAUAUGGAUGCGAGUCAGGCCUCAGCGAGACCUGAACCCUGGUAGGAUUGAAGAGUGUUGGUUUCAGACCCCAGCACUUACUGUGAAUGUGGAAAUCAGCCACUGAAAGCCUCAA
Molecule: long non-coding RNA, 301 nt
Filed under: Homo sapiens (human)
Lineage: Eukaryota; Metazoa; Chordata; Mammalia; Primates; Hominidae
Description: HSALNT0226637
Source: RNAcentral